RNAcentral lists this long non-coding RNA (247 nucleotides) under Helianthus annuus (common sunflower). Its description in RNAcentral is "sRNA HanXRQr2_Chr03g0088101". The record is from RNAcentral. Lineage: Eukaryota; Viridiplantae; Streptophyta; Magnoliopsida; Asterales; Asteraceae.
GCGUCAUCACCUCGUUAUUUCGCGUUUGGAGAUUCAAAUUCGAUUCGUUUCUUGUGUGGAAUCCCGUAGGUGUUUUGGAGAUUGUGAGCAUGCUUACUAGUAGAGUCGCAUGUUGCAUCCAUUGUGCGAGUUUUUGGUUUUCUUCAAGGAUUCCCAAAAGGUUGUUGCUGCGGUAGACGGUGGUGGUUGUAAAUCCUAGAAUCUACGGUGAUGGUGGUUGCUACGGUGGAUGGUGGUGAUGUUCUUA